CAGCCGCCGCGGGAAUACGAGGGGGGCAAGCGUUGUUCGGAAUUAUUGGGCGUAAAGGGUGCGUAGGCGGCUUGACAAGUCUUGUGUGAAAUCUUCGGGCUCAACCCGAAGCCUGCACGAGAAACUACCGGGCUUGAGUAUUGGAGAGGUGAGUGGAAUUUCCGGUGUAGCGGUGAAAUGCGUAGAUAUCGGAAGGAACACCUGUGGCGAAAGCGGCUCACUGGACAAUAACUGACGCUGAUGCACGAAAGCUAGGGGAGCAAACAGGAUUAGAGACCCCCGUAGUCCCUGUCUCUUAUAC
This 301-nucleotide ribosomal RNA is filed under the name uncultured bacterium. Its description in RNAcentral is "partial 16S ribosomal RNA". It matches the Rfam family "Bacterial small subunit ribosomal RNA", at positions 509 to 807 of the family's 1533-position model. The record is from RNAcentral.